CCUACGGGAGGCAGCAGUGGGGAAUAUUGCACAAUGGGGGAAACCCUGAUGCAGCGAUGCCGCGUGAAGGAAGAAGUAUUUCGGUCUGUAAACUUCUAUCAGCAGGGAAGAAAAUGACGGUACCUGACUAAGAAGCCCCGGCUAACUAAGUGCCCGCAGCCGCGUUAAUACGUAGGGGGCAAGCGUUAUCCGGAUUUACUGGGUGUAAGGGGAGCGUAGGCGGUUUAGCAAGUCAGAAGUGAACGCCCGGGGCUCAACUCCGGGACUGCUUUUGAAACUGUUGAACUAGAUUGCAGGAGAGGUAAGUGGAAUUCGUGGUGUAGCGGUGAAAUGCAUAGAUAUUAGAAGGAACACCAGUGGCGAAGGCAGCUUACUGGACUGUGAAUGACGCUGAGGCUCGAAAGCGUGGGUAGCAAACAGGAUUAGAUACCCCAGUAGUC
This 440-nucleotide ribosomal RNA is filed under the name uncultured bacterium. Its description in RNAcentral is "partial 16S ribosomal RNA". It matches the Rfam family "Bacterial small subunit ribosomal RNA", at positions 338 to 795 of the family's 1533-position model. The record is from RNAcentral.